GGGGGCGACAGGUUUCGACGGGGAUCAACGAGGUCCAGGCUGCGUCUCGAGGUUUCUCACCCCUCGUUAAUAAGUGAGAACCUUCUAGCUGCCAACACACAGCUAGCUCUGGCGGCCUAACAACCGCUAGUGUCGGCCAGGCCGAGCCAUCAGGGCCUGGGAACCGGCAUCAUACUCUGGUGGCUGGCUCCAACCUUCGCCUCAGGGGCGGAGCGAGACAUAUGAGGCUGGCCCCGCGGUCCUCCUGCCGGAUGGAGGGCCGAAGGGCGAGAGCGCAGUAAGAUAAACCGGCUAUCGACGUAGACGCCUGCGGCUGAGGGUUUCCGGACGUGGGUUCGAUUCCCACCGCCUCCACCA
This 357-nucleotide transfer-messenger RNA is filed under the name Candidatus Rokuibacteriota bacterium. RNAcentral's name for it is "Candidatus Rokubacteria bacterium transfer-messenger RNA". It matches the Rfam family "transfer-messenger RNA". From Rfam's summary of the family: Bacterial tmRNA, also known as 10Sa RNA or SsrA, is named for its dual tRNA and mRNA-like properties. Its role is to liberate the mRNA from a stalled ribosome. Lineage: Bacteria; Candidatus Rokuibacteriota. The record is from RNAcentral. RNAcentral also lists the same sequence under 2 other names.